GAUUUCUGGUUCGGCGCACUUGGCCCGUCUCGGUUUACGAGAUUUGCGUGCCGGUGUGCGCCAUCCAUCCUUCGAUGCAGAUCGUUCUUACCCUUUACUGGGUCGAGGGCGACUCUCUCGAUCUUUUACUUUGAAAAAAUUAGAGUGUUUAAAGCAGGCUUGCGCUAUGAAUACAUUAGCAUGGAAUAAUAAUUUAGGACUUUGGUCUUAUUUUGUUGGUUUCUAGGACUAAAGUAAUGAUUGAUAGGGACAGUUGGGGGUGCUAGUAUUCAGCGGCCAGAGGUGAAAUUCUUGGAUUCGCUGAAGACUAACUUAUGCGAAAGCAUU
Molecule: ribosomal RNA, 327 nt
Filed under: Cercomonas sp.
Lineage: Eukaryota; Cercozoa; Cercomonadida; Cercomonadidae
Description: SSU rRNA
Rfam family: Eukaryotic small subunit ribosomal RNA (bases 114-327)
Source: RNAcentral